This 368-nucleotide unclassified non-coding RNA is filed under the name Hevea brasiliensis (rubber tree). Lineage: Eukaryota; Viridiplantae; Streptophyta; Magnoliopsida; Malpighiales; Euphorbiaceae. The record is from RNAcentral.
AAUUUUGCAACCAUGUGGACAUAGCACUUGAAAAACAAGUCAAAUUGGUGGCUUGUCAGCUGAAAAGUGAUGCUUCUGCUUGGUGGGAACGGCUACAAUCUAGAAGGAAGCGAUAAGAGAAAAGGCCAGCUCAUACGUGGUACAUAAUGAAAUAUUUGCUACAACAAGAAUUUUUGCCUUCAAAUUAUGAGCAAAUUUUACUCCAACAAAACCAAUGUUGUCAACAGGAGGUCCAGCCAAAGCCCUUAGUUGAAAAACGAAAAAGUUACGAACAAAAGGAGCUUCGAGAUUCAACAACGCAACUUAAAGUGGAGGGGCUAAGUGAAGAAUCUGAAUUAGAAACUUGAAUCAAAUUUCCUUUAUGGUUG